RNAcentral lists this long non-coding RNA (210 nucleotides) under Elaeis guineensis (African oil palm). RNAcentral describes it as "long non-coding RNA (EGUI_LNC001217)". Lineage: Eukaryota; Viridiplantae; Streptophyta; Magnoliopsida; Arecales; Arecaceae. The record is from RNAcentral.
CACAAAAUAGAUUUUAUACGAGUGCUAAAUUAAGAUCCUUUAGAAGACCCUAAUUAUAGCUAAUUCCACAACUAUUCUUCAUGACAAGUCAUGCAAAACACAAAAUAAAAAAUUAAUUUUAUUUAUAAUAUUUUUAAAAUAUAGAAAAUUUUGAGUUAAUAUAAUUAUUGAAGUUCUACAAAUCAAAAAACUUAGCCAGCCAUACUGCAU